CCUACGGGGGGCAGCAGUGGGGAAUAUUGGACAAUGGGCGAAAGCCUGAUCCAGCCAUGCCGCGUGUGUGAAGAAGGCCUUCGGGUUGUAAAGCACUUUCAGUGGGGAAGAAAGCCUUGGGGCUAAUACCCUCGAGGAAGGACAUCACCCACAGAAGAAGCACCGGCUAACUCCGUGCCAGCAGCCGCGGUAAUACGGAGGGUGCGAGCGUUAAUCGGAAUUACUGGGCGUAAAGCGCGCGUAGGCGGUCUGAUAAGCCGGUUGUGAAAGCCCCGGGCUCAACCUGGGAACGGCAUCCGGAACUGUCAGGCUAGGGUGCAGGAGAGGAAGGUAGAAUUCCCGGUGUAGCGGUGAAAUGCGUAGAGAUCGGGAGGAAUACCAGUGGCGAAGGCGGCCUUCUGGACUGACACUGACGCUGAGGUGCGAAAGCGUGGGUAGCAAACAGGAUUAGAUACCCGUGUCGUC
Molecule: ribosomal RNA, 465 nt
Filed under: Vreelandella stevensii
Lineage: Bacteria; Pseudomonadati; Pseudomonadota; Gammaproteobacteria; Oceanospirillales; Halomonadaceae
Description: partial 16S ribosomal RNA
Rfam family: Bacterial small subunit ribosomal RNA
Source: RNAcentral